UUCGCAAUGCCCGAAAGGGUGACGAUGCGACGCCGCGUGAGCGAAGAAGGCCCUAGGGUUGUAAAGCUCUGUCGAGGGUUAUGAAAUAUAGAUGGGUUAAUACCCCAUUUAUUUGACAAAAGCCCAAAAGGAAGCCACGGCUAACUCUGUGCCAGCAGCCGCGGUAAUACAGAGGUGGCGAGCGUUGUUCGGUAUUAUUGGGCGUAAAGAGCACGUAGGUGGUUUUGUAAGUCAGAUGUGAAAGCCUUCUGUUCAAAGGAAGAACGGCAUCUGAAACUGCAGAUCUUGAGUGUAGGAGGGGAGAGUGGAACUUCUGGUGGAGCGGUGAAAUGCGUAGAUAUCAGAAGGAACGUCGGCGGCGAAGGCGACUCUCUGGCCUAUUACUGACACUGAGUGUGCGAAAGUUAGGGGAGCAAACAGGAUUAGAUACCCCGGUAGUCCUAACUGUAAACGAUGGGCACUAAGUAGAGGGGUUUU
RNAcentral lists this ribosomal RNA (477 nucleotides) under Candidatus Scalindua wagneri. Its description in RNAcentral is "bacterial SSU rRNA". It matches the Rfam family "Bacterial small subunit ribosomal RNA", at positions 365 to 832 of the family's 1533-position model. Lineage: Bacteria; Pseudomonadati; Planctomycetota; Candidatus Brocadiia; Candidatus Brocadiales; Candidatus Scalinduaceae. The record is from RNAcentral.